Molecule: long non-coding RNA, 3995 nt
Filed under: Eptatretus burgeri (inshore hagfish)
Lineage: Eukaryota; Metazoa; Chordata; Myxini; Myxiniformes; Myxinidae
Description: lncRNA (ENSEBUG00000017120.1)
Source: RNAcentral
GUGUCACUUUUGUGUUGGCCUCUAUUAGUUGCUUUUUACUGGUGGCCUCUGGUGGUGGCAUUUUAUUUGUGGACAUCUUUCCCUGUCCUUGUCUCUGACAGGUAAAACCUUUGCCACCUUUGCAAAUUGACUGGGAUAAAACAAGUUCUUCUGGAGUACUUACCUGUUACCUCCUGCCUCAGCAAGGCAAAACAGAGCAAGAGGACAUUUGGGAGGAAGAUGCCAGCCACAAUAUGGAGAAAGAAGGAUGUCACGAGGAAACUGAGCAUGCAGACUUUCAGCAAAGAAUAAAUAAUCUAGAAAACAUGGAUAUUAAAUCACAUGAAUUGUUGUUCUAUGGAGGUGGGAUCCGAGGGUGAAUGUAGACUGUGGUAAUGAAAAGGAACAGGAGGAUAACAAGAAUAAUGGCAUCGGGACAAUUUUUAUCGAUAAACAAGGGAUAUAUUGUGAAAUAUUGGAGAACAAAGCAUGUGGACUGAGGAAAGGUGAGCACGAUGAUGAGAGGAAGAACAAAAGAGAUGACGGGAAGGCAAGUGUUGGAAAAGGGAAAACGUUGAGCACAGUAGAUUGUGAAAAAGAGAGUGACAUUGAGGGAGGAAUGGAGAAAUCGAUCGAAGGAAAAGAGGAAAGGGAAAUAGAGGGAGAAAUAAAGAGUAUGCUGGAGGACAACAUGGAGAGUUUGAGUGAGGACGAUGGAAAACACAAAGCUAAAGAAGAGUUAAUUGAUGGACAAAGUAAAUCAAGUGAUGUCGAAUUCGAAGAAGACGAAGAUAUCGGAAGUAUUCCUGAAGGAGGUGAAGAAGAGGAGAGAGAAGAAAGCAUUGAUAAGCGGCGAAGAGUGAAAGUCACAUUUUUUACAGAGAGCAACAUUUCAGAUAAGGUGUCUACCUUGAAUCGACCUCCAACCCCUCAUCCACGAGAAUCAUGCCAGGACCUUUUGUCCUCAGUACCGGUCGUGGAAAAUGUGGAGCAGGUAAACGUGCACAAUUCGGUACAAAUGAUGGCGAAUGAAUGUGCCUCCACAACCCAGGCACCAAGAGAUUAUCUGCUUUCAGUUGAUAAUCACUGUCUAAUGCAUCACGAGGCACACAGCUCAAACCACCAUGAUUUAUCGCAAACAUUUUCCAUCUGUCAGACACCUUAUCUGCUGCAACCGGUGGAAGACGACUGGGAAAGUGAUUCUGAUGAGGUAUCUCAUAAACUUGUGGUGACUAUUUAUCAUGUUCCUGUUCGAUCUUACUUGAAAGACGAGUUAGGAACUUUCCUUCCCAACUUCCUUUUCCUCAAUACAUUUUGAAGGAGAUGAAUUCUGGAUUUCAAAGCAGACCUUCAGUUUUUCCUUUCUAUUGUGAUAACAUUAUUACUACUCAUACUGUAUGGUGGCUUUCUGUGUCACAGUACAGAUAUUUUAAAAUUGAAAGCGAUAAAGUGUCCUGACAUUGGAAUUAAAAAGCAAAUGCGAUAGGUUUUGUUUUCCCAAGGUAUGCAUUGUGCUUGGCAGGAAAUGCCUGUGGCGGAUCUACUACCAGCAACCAUCACUCGACCAGCUCCACGUCUCCUGCAUCUUGCACCUCGUAUGACAGAGCAUGCCUUACAUCACACUCACACCAGCCUUGUUUUGCUUUUUCUUCAUUUAGAACAUAUUUUUACUCUUAACUUUAUUUUCUUUCUUUGCACUGAAUAUUCUUGCAACUUUUAGUGCAAGAAAUUACAAGGAAACUUAGGAACAGAAGCAAUGACUGUUUGGCCUUUUUUGUCACAAGAUUAAUGAUGUCCUCCUCAAACAGGCCUUUUUUGCUUUGAAGGAUUAGCAUAGCAGAAAUUACAAAGCAAGGGGGUAUUUGGAAAUGUGGAUAUUUAGAAAAGACAGGCUUAUUGUGGGCUGGCAGGAUAGCCUAGAGGUAUGCACACUUGCAUCUGAAGCUGUCCAGCAACUGGGUUAGAAUAUCGGCCGAGCUAUAAACUGUCAUUCCGGUGUUUCAUCGGCAGGGUGAUUCAUCAUUGUGUGUGCCGUCCCUCAGAUGGACAUUAAAACAGGUGUUCCAUCUGCCGGCAUUAGUUGGCGGAUGUUAAAGAUCCCACGGUGUCCUUCACGAAGAGUAGGCAAACUAUUGCUAACACCAUGGCCAAAUUCUAAAUUCCUAUGCUUAUUUGUGACCAUAAACCAGAUACAGUUAUCAUACAAGACACCUCCUGACUUGGUGAAGAAUCUAAGCACAGAUCGUGUCUCACAACAGCCAAAACUACACAACUAGUGAGCAACAAUGGUCGUCUGUCACCUAACCUGUGUCAGAGUGGCAACCCAUCCAAGAUUGUAACCCUACUCAUAGAAACUGCUUCGACAGCACCAACGCUCUGUGCAAAGCAUGGCUCAUUAUCUGAGUGUUAUUGUCCUGAUUUCAUGAAGGAAUUAAUUAGAUCUUGCAUAGCGUAUAUUAUUGUCGCACAGAUAUGAUGUGGAAUAAUCAUCUGAGGAAAAAACAUGCACCUCAUCAUGUUUCUGAUGCAUUACAUUCAUAGAUAAGGGCAAUAAUUUAUAACUUGGCGAGUUACUUGCUCUUUUCGAAAGGUGCCAUUGCAUCUUUAACAUCAACAAGUGAAUGCCAGCAGAAGUAACAGCCAGCUUAACACUCCCCUUCAAAGGAUAGCUUCUUAUUAAUGCAACACACUGCUUAUGAAGCACUAGUGUGUCAGUUUAUAGCUGGGUCAGAAGUGGAGCCCAGACUUGGACAGCCAAAGACAAGUGGAUUACUUAUUCUCCUUCUUGUUGUACAAUAUUUACUUAAGGAUCAUACUACAGCUUGUACGUAAAUCACUGAAGGGCAAAGACCGUAGAAGACGUCGUUGCACUUUUAUAUGAAUUAUGAGGAUAUUAUUAGAGCAAUAGGUACAUGCAUCACAUUAAUUGCAUUAGUCAGCAGCAUUAAACAAAACACCAGAAUGACAGUUUGUUGUCGGGCUGGGAUUCCAACCCAGACGCGAUAAUUCAAAAACGAGCAGAUGCUCCGUCUGAGCUAUAUCCCAUCAACUCCUUGUCCGAUUAAAUCCAUUUUUUCAGGGUGUGUUGGAGUUAGGUUGAGAAGAGGCAGGUUCCUUUCGAAAAUGGGCAUGCUGCGAUUUUCAAUGUGGCCUCCAUGGCAGCCAUCUUGAAAUUGCUUUCCGUCGAUUUCGAGGAGAACGCCUUGUCCGAUUAAAGCCAUUUUUACAGGGUGUGUUGGGGUUGAGUAGAGGAAGGUUCCUUUUGAAAAUGGGCGUGCUGCGAUUUUCACUGUGGCCGCCAUGGCAGUCGUCUUGAAAUUGGUUUUCGUCAAGUUCAAGAACGGCUUGGCUUGUCCGAUUAAAUGCAUUUUUGCAGUGUGUGCGUGUGUGAGUUGAGUAGAGGAAGGUUCCUUUGGAAAAUGGGCGCGCUGCGAUUUUCACUAGCCACUACGAUAGCCAUCUUGAAGUCUGAUUGAUUUUUGAUACGACGUCCAAUGUGCUCUAACUGACUGCAUCAUCGUGAUAUCACUGCUUCCUUUUACAAUGCAUGGGCUGAGGGGUUACGCCCGCUUUGCUGAGCUAUUUUUAUGAUUGUGGUCUUUUUAUUUUUAUAAUAAAACCCUAAUAUCUUUGGCAUUUUACAAAUUUUGUUAUAGUUUUGAUAAGGCAAUGUUACUGAAACACAAAAUCUUCACCCCGUUGCACCAAUGGAGUCCCUAUCUACAACGCUUGUUUUCGUCAAAGUAGGCAUAUUGGGAGAGAAGACAUAACCAGGAGUUCACACAAUUUUUUUAUUUGGUUCUCCAAUAAGUACCAGCAGAAAUGGUUUGGUACUCACGAGAAAAAAAUGUCAGCUUUGAGCGUGCUCAUCUGCUUUCCCAAGCGCCACUCAGCUUCGUAUGCAUCUCUGUAACCACUCUCUUAGAACGUCCGCUCCAGACGAGACACUCACAAGCCGCUCUUUUUACAUUCCGGACACUCCUGAACCUUCUCUUCUUCGUCCUUGCUCGCAUGUU